GAAAGUGUGCUAAAAUAAUGCCCAACCCAUAAGCCAUGGAUGAGAAAUGUAGAUUGUGUUUAAACAAAAUCAGCAGAAAACGCACCACAAUUCUGCAAAAAGACUUUCGUAAAAUGAUGGAGGCAAUUUUCCUCUUUCUCGGUCGUCCACGUUGAGGCUGCACUGGCUGUUCGGCCGCCGUUCGUAACUCGGACGACUCGGACGCGUUCUCGGACAGUUUGGCGGUAGUCGGCAAGGUACGGAGAACGAAAUCCCGAGCAGUUCGUUGAAUGUGGUCGAACCUCACCGAGUUCAUAUCGUUGCAUUCGAACGUGAAGCAAAGAGUUAAUGCCAAAUGAGAUUAAUUUAAAGGCAAGAAUAAAUAAGUACUUUCCGAAGCUCUGGCUAAGUUAAAUAGUCGUAUCGGAUAUCAUCUGGAUUAUAAAAUUUGAAAUAAGAAAUAAAAAUAACUGUAGAAAAAAUCUAA
This is a long non-coding RNA of Anopheles stephensi (Asian malaria mosquito), 466 nucleotides long. RefSeq lists it as uncharacterized. The record is from RefSeq and is a predicted model, not a curated record. The transcript has 2 exons. NCBI's taxonomy places the organism in Eukaryota, Metazoa, Arthropoda, Insecta, Diptera, Culicidae.